Molecule: non-coding RNA, 1767 nt
Organism: Paramuricea clavata
Lineage: Eukaryota; Metazoa; Cnidaria; Anthozoa; Malacalcyonacea; Plexauridae
Source: the annotation of a GenBank genome assembly
CUAUGAUUUUUCUAUUAUGGAUAGUUCUGUGGAAUGAAAUCUCAAUCAUUAUUUUCAUUUUCAACAGCCUGUAAUUUUCCAUGUCCAAAAAUAUACAAGCCAGUGUGUGGAUCAGACGGAAAGACGUAUGGCAACGCCUGUGAAUUGAGAAGAGCUGAUUGCAAAAGUCCUGGAAAAAUUCAUAUUAUUCACAAUGGCCCUUGUUGUAAGAACAAUUGACAAAUUAAUAUAGGAAAUCUUAAUUUGCAUAGUUUCCAUCUGGACUGUAUCGUAAAGUAUGAUUUGUAUUCGUGUCAAUCUCAUUAGAACUGCCCCACAUGCAUGCAGUGAUUAGCGCUCCCCCUAGUGAGUAUACUAACGUUUAUAUAGUUACGAAAGAAAUAUGUUGCUUACUUCAUUUUUUAAUUUCUUUCGAAUUUUGUUCAUCCAACUCAAAAAAGAUAGGUUUUCGUUGUUUAAUAUUAGUACUCAAGUACCAGGGGGUGAAGGCGAGUACCAUAAUUCCGCUUGGGCCUACGAUAUCAUGCAACUGAUGUGCAUCAUAGUCUUUCGAGACAUGGUCUGGAAACUCAGUAAACUUCAAAGCGGUUAUAAUGAGCUGUGUGUUUAUGUUGAGCCGUACCUUACACCGUGCACAUCCUUUGUUUUAGGUUUAUUAAUAUUUAAAUAGCAUGGUUGAAUGACUGAACUGAAACGUUGCUAUUGGAUGAUUCGUUCAUUACACUGAAAUACAAUGUGUUCAUUGACCGUGCACCGUGCACAAAACUGCAUAAACGCGAACAAAAAGAUAGAACAAAGACUUUACCGGAGUUUCCAAACCAUGUUUUGAAAGACUAUGUGUGCAUGUAUAUACGCGUAUGACGAACGUCUGACUGGAAUACAAGCUUUAAUAUUACAUCUUGUUUUUAAUUUUGCUAGAUUGUUUAUUGCCGAAAGUGAUUGGUCCAUGCAAAGCUCGUAUGCCUCGUUACUUCUACAAUCGGAGAACUGGAAGAUGUGAAUUAUUCUAUUAUGGAGGAUGUUUAGGAAAUAAGAAUAAUUUUAAAACGAAACAGGCUUGUGAGGCUACAUGUAGGCGAAGUGAGUUUUACCAAGUGUCUAAGGUCACACUUUCUAGUAUAUGUCAUUAUGUAGUUGAAAGUUUGUCAUGUAAGAUUAAGAAGCUUUAACACGUCGAGUAUAUACCAACAUAUAUAUAAAUUAAUAAAUAUAUAGUACCAUCAAUACUCUCUUUGCAUGCACCCAUAGAGAGGAUUAUUUAUUUCAGGCAUAUUAUAAGGGUUACUUAUUUGAGAGAGAAGAGGGGCCCUCAGUGGAGAAAGAAGGUGGAGGCUGAUUGAUUUAAAUAAAAACUCAGUCAAUCGUGACUAAGAAAUUAAAAACCAAAAAUGAAUUUCUAGGUAAAAUAAUGUAUCUAAUCAAUACAUUAUAUCAUCAUGUAUAUACUUGGUUGCGAGGGGCUUAAUAGAGGGAGGCACUUAAUAACGUGACAGAGGGGGAGUUUAUUUGCAAGGGGUUUACUUGAGGAGGAGAGGUAAAUAUCGAUUUAUUUAGGAUAUGCCUGCAUAACAUUUAAUUAUCUUCAUUAAGUGUCUCGUUUUUUUAUUUUUUUAAUUAAUUAAAAAUUUUAAUCUUUGUUUCAGGAUUUUAAUUCACAGCCAGUUUGCCAGCUGACGUGAAAGAUUUUUUGUCUGAAUUUAUUGUACACUAAUUGCAGUUGCAAUAAUAUGUAGACCAAACUAUGUCCACUUAUAUUCAAAUAAAAGC